RNAcentral lists this ribosomal RNA (503 nucleotides) under Mycobacterium sp. N165. RNAcentral describes it as "bacterial SSU rRNA". It matches the Rfam family "Bacterial small subunit ribosomal RNA", at positions 1 to 522 of the family's 1533-position model. The record is from RNAcentral. Lineage: Bacteria; Bacillati; Actinomycetota; Actinomycetes; Mycobacteriales; Mycobacteriaceae.
UGGAGAGUUUGAUCCUGGCUCAGGACGAACGCUGGCGGCGUGCUUAACAACAAUGCAGUCGAACGGAAAGGCCUCUUCGGAGGUACUCGAGUGGCGAACGGGUGAGUAACACGUGGGUAAUCUGCCCUGCACUUCGGGAUAAGCCUGGGAAACUGGGUCUAAUACCGGAUAGGACCUUUUGGCGCAUGCCUUUUGGUGGAAAGCUUUUGCGGUGUGGGAUGGGCCCGCGGCCUAUCAGCUUGUUGGUGGGGUGACGGCCUACCAAGGCGACGACGGGUAGCCGGCCUGAGAGGGUGUCCGGCCACACUGGGACUGAGAUACGGCCCAGACUCCUACGGGAGGCAGCAGUGGGGAAUAUUGCACAAUGGGCGCAAGCCUGAUGCAGCGACGCCGCGUGGGGGAUGACGGCCUUCGGGUUGUAAACCUCUUUCAGCAGGGACGAAGCGCAAGUGACGGUACCUGCAGAAGAAGCACCGGCCAACUACGUGCCAGCAGCCGCGGUA